Molecule: ribosomal RNA, 625 nt
Filed under: Salmonella enterica subsp. enterica serovar Apeyeme
Lineage: Bacteria; Pseudomonadati; Pseudomonadota; Gammaproteobacteria; Enterobacterales; Enterobacteriaceae
Description: partial 23S ribosomal RNA
Rfam family: Bacterial large subunit ribosomal RNA
Source: RNAcentral
GGUUAAGCGACUAAGCGUACACGGUGGAUGCCCUGGCAGUCAGAGGCGAUGAAGGGCGUGCUAAUCUGCGAUAAGCGCCGGUAAGGUGAUAUGAACCGUUAUAACCGGCGAUACCCGAAUGGGGAAACCCAGUGUGAUUCGUCACACUAUCAUUAACUGAAUCCAUAGGUUAAUGAGGCGAACCGGGGGAACUGAAACAUCUAAGUACCCCGAGGAAAAGAAAUCAACCGAGAUUCCCCCAGUAGCGGCGAGCGAACGGGGAGGAGCCCAGAGCCUGAAUCAGCAUGUGUGUUAGUGGAAGCGUCUGGAAAGGCGCGCGAUACAGGGUGACAGCCCCGUACACAAAAGCGCAUAUGCUGUGAGCUCGAUGAGUAGGGCGGGACACGUGGUAUCCUGUCUGAAUAUGGGGGGACCAUCCUCCAAGGCUAAAUACUCCUGACUGACCGAUAGUGAACCAGUACCGUGAGGGAAAGGCGAAAAGAACCCCGGCGAGGGGAGUGAAAAAGAACCUGAAACCGUGUACGUACAAGCAGUGGGAGCACCCUUUGGGGUGUGACUGCGUACCUUUUGUAUAAUGGGUCAGCGACUUAUAUUCUGUAGCAAGGUUAACCGUAUAGGGGAGCCG